RNAcentral lists this ribosomal RNA (253 nucleotides) under uncultured bacterium. RNAcentral's name for it is "partial 16S ribosomal RNA". It matches the Rfam family "Bacterial small subunit ribosomal RNA", at positions 524 to 776 of the family's 1533-position model. The record is from RNAcentral.
UACAGAGGUGCCAAGCGUUAGGCGGAAUCACUGGGCUUAAAGCGCGUGUAGGCGGGUUGUUAAGUGUCUUGUGAAAUCCCACGGCUCAACCGUGGAACUGCUGGGCAUACUGACGAUCUUGAGGCACUCAGGGGCUGUCGGAACAAAUGGUGGAGCGGUGAAAUGCGUAGAUAUCAUUUGGAACGCCAGCGGUGAAAACAGACAGCUGGGGGUGUCCUGACGCUGAGGCGCGAAAGCCAGGGGAGCGAACGGG